RNAcentral lists this microRNA precursor (93 nucleotides) under Cricetulus griseus (Chinese hamster). RNAcentral describes it as "mir-552". Lineage: Eukaryota; Metazoa; Chordata; Mammalia; Rodentia; Cricetidae. The record is from RNAcentral.
UAAAUAUAAUUUUAAGUUAUUCUUUAAGAAUUGUAUACAUAUAUAUAUGUAUACAAUUCUUAAAGAAUAACUUAAAAUUAUAUUUAAAAUUAU